Molecule: ribosomal RNA, 405 nt
Filed under: Althepus sp. 360 FL-2018
Lineage: Eukaryota; Metazoa; Arthropoda; Arachnida; Araneae; Ochyroceratidae
Description: partial 16S ribosomal RNA
Source: RNAcentral
CCUGCUCAAUGAACAUUAAAUAGCCGCUUUUUUAAGUGCUAAGGUAGCAUAAUCAUUAGUCUAUUAAUUAUAGAAUAGAAUGAAAGGAAAAACGAGUUAAAAACUUUAUUUAAUUUAAAUAAUAAAACUAAUUUAAAAGUAAAAAAGCUUUUAUGAAAAGAAAAGACGACAAGACCCUUUAGAACUUAACUCAAAGUUUAACUGGGAUGGUAAAUUAUAAAAACUAACUAUAUUAUAAUAUAAAAAACUUCAAAUAUAAUAUAAAAAGUUACCUAAGGGAUAACAGCAUAAUUUUAUUUAAAAGAUCUUAUUAAAAAUAAUCAUUAUGACCUCGAUGUUGAAUUACUAAACUUAUAUUAGAAAAUUAAUAUAAAGUAAGUCUGUUCGACUUUUAAACAAGUACAU